RNAcentral lists this ribosomal RNA (429 nucleotides) under Chloroflexota bacterium. RNAcentral's name for it is "Chloroflexi bacterium partial 16S ribosomal RNA". It matches the Rfam family "Bacterial small subunit ribosomal RNA", at positions 355 to 776 of the family's 1533-position model. Lineage: Bacteria; Bacillati; Chloroflexota. The record is from RNAcentral.
UGGGGAAUAUUGCACAAUGGGCGCAAGCCUGAUGCAGCCAUGCCGCGUGUGUGAAGAAGGCCUUCGGGCUGUAAAGCACUUUCAGCGGGGAGGAAGGCGAUAAGGUUAAUAACCUUGUCGAUUGACGUUACCCGCAGAAGAAGCACCGGCUAACUCCGUGCCAGCAGCCGCGGUAAUACGGAGGGUGCAAGCGUUAAUCGGAAUUACUGGGCGUAAAGCGCACGCAGGCGGUCUGUCAAGUCGGAUGUGAAAUCCCCGGGCUUAACCUGGGAACUGCAUUCGAAACUGGCAGGCUAGAGUCUUGUAGAGGGGGGUAGAAUUCCAGGGGUAGCGGUGAAAUGCGUAGAGAUCUGGAGGAAUACCGGUGGCGAAGGCGGCCCCCUGGACAAAGACUGACGCUCAGGUGCGAAAGCGUGGGGAGCAAACAGG